GGUGAGUAACGCGUGGGGAACCUACCUCUUUGUGGGGAAUAACGUUCCGAAAGGAAUGGUAAUACCGCAUGAGACCGAUGGCUGGGAUGCUGUCGGUGAAACCCAGGGACCGCAAGGCCUGGGGCAAGGAGAGGGUCCUGCGUCUGAUUAGCUAGUUGGCGGGGUAACGGCCCACCAAGGCAUCGAUCAGUAGCCGGCCUGAGAGAGUGAUCGGCCACACUGGAACUGAGACACGGUCCAGACUCCUACGGGAGGCAGCAGUGGGGAAUUUUGCGCAAUGGGCGAAAGCCUGACGCAGCAACGCCGCGUGGGUGAUGAAGGUCUUCGGAUCGUAAAACCCUGUCGUCAGGGACGAAGGUUGCGUGUCGAACAGAUGCGUAACUUGACGGUACCUGGAGAGGAAGCCCCGGCUAACUCUGUGCCAGCAGCCGCGGUAAUACAGAGGGGGCAAGCGUUAUUCGGAAUUAUUGGGCGUAAAGGGCGCGUAGGCGGUGUCUUAAGUGAGAUGUGUAAUCCCCGAGCUUAACUUGGGAACUGCAUCUCAGACUGGGGCGCUAGAGUACUGGAGAGGGUGGUAGAAUUCCACGUGUAGCGGUGAAAUGCGUAGAGAUGUGGAGGAAUACCAGUGGCGAAGGCGGCCACCUGGACAGUAACUGACGCUGAGGCGCGAAAGUGUGGGGAGCAAACAGGAUUAGAUACCCUGGUAGUCCACGCUGUAAACGAUGAACACUUGGUGUGGUGGGAGUUGACCCCUGCCGUGCCGGAGCUAACGCGAUAAGUGUUCCGCCUGGGGAGUA
RNAcentral lists this ribosomal RNA (797 nucleotides) under uncultured bacterium. RNAcentral's name for it is "bacterial SSU rRNA". It matches the Rfam family "Bacterial small subunit ribosomal RNA", at positions 105 to 882 of the family's 1533-position model. The record is from RNAcentral.